Molecule: unclassified non-coding RNA, 183 nt
Filed under: Glomeraceae sp.
Lineage: Eukaryota; Fungi; Glomeromycota; Glomeromycetes; Glomerales; Glomeraceae
Description: partial contains 5.8S ribosomal RNA and internal transcribed spacer 2
Rfam family: 5.8S ribosomal RNA (bases 1-71)
Source: RNAcentral
GUGAAUCAUCAAAUCUUUGAACGCAAAUUGCACUCCCUGGUAUUACGGGGAGUACGCCUGUUUGAGGGUCGUUAAAACAAAAAUCGAAGCGUCGCUCUUUUUUUUUAAGGGUGAUCGAGUUGGGAUUGAGGGGUCUAUGAAGUGUUAAUUCAUGUUAAAGUGGCUUGAAUUUGACGCAUACAG